RNAcentral lists this transfer RNA (73 nucleotides) under Trechus ovatus. RNAcentral's name for it is "transfer RNA-Leu". The record is from RNAcentral. Lineage: Eukaryota; Metazoa; Arthropoda; Insecta; Coleoptera; Carabidae.
UAUUAAUAUUAUUUUGGCAGAUUAGUGUAAUGAAUUUAGAAUUCAUAAAAGUAAAAAAUUUUACAAAUAAUAC